AAGGGCACCACAAGAACGCGUGGAGCAUGUGGCUUAAUUUGACUCAACGCGGGAAAUCUUACCGGGUCCGGACACACUGAGGAUUGACAGGCAAUAUUAAUUUCUGCCAUUCGUGGCGUUUUUAUGUUAAAUAUGCUAGUCCUUUCAUGAUUAUGUGAUAGGUGGUGCAUGGCCGUUCUUAGUUCGUGGAGUGAUCUGUCUGCUUAAUUGCGUUUCACUAAGGGCCUAUAAUUUAACGUGUGUUGCGGCACUUUGACCCCUCCUCGGAGCGUGUGUCUUAGCUUGUUUAGCUCACACAAUUAGGUCCUGAAAGCAACGAACGUGACCGCAACCUCUUGUUGCCUUUAUACCAAACACGUUUUGUUCUCUUCACAGAGCAGCAUUUCGUGAAAAAAGGCUUUUUAAACUAGAGGGACCGCUGUUACUUUCUUAAACCAGAGGAAGGUUGCGGCAAUAACAGGUCUGUGAUGCCCUUAGAUGUUCCGGGCUGCACACGUGCUACAAUGAUUAUUGCAGUGAGCAUCUCAUUUUUUACACACCGCAUUCACGAGUCCAUUUAUUCAUUCCUUCGGGUUUGCUUUAAAUGUGCAUCUCUGUGAGCGGUAAAGCCUGCUUCGAAAGUAAGUGGGUAAUCAAUUAGAAGUAAUGAUUUCCUUUUUUUCAGCACACAUAUAUACGACGUUUAUACCCGGGCUGUCCUUGUUGAUAGCUUUUGUGUGUAUAGAUGUUUUUUCCGUAUGUGCAAUUGUCAAUUCAUGGUGGGGACAGACCAUUGUUAAUUGUUGGUCUCGGUCUUAACUAGGAAUGCCUUGUACGGGUCUUUGGUUCAACAAACCACCCGGAAUACGUCCCUGCCCUUUGUACACACCACCCGUCGCUCUUACCGAUGGACUUCUCUGUGAGUUUGAGGGACUGGGAACGCAGGUUCUUUUUAUUAAGAGUCUGCACACCUAUGGAAACUUAAACGAACAGUGUGGUCUAAAGGAAAGAGAAGUCGUAACAAGGCAUCGGUAGGUGAACCUGCAGAAGGAUCA
Molecule: ribosomal RNA, 1034 nt
Filed under: Foraminifera environmental sample
Lineage: Eukaryota; Foraminifera
Description: bacterial SSU rRNA
Rfam family: Eukaryotic small subunit ribosomal RNA
Source: RNAcentral